Molecule: ribosomal RNA, 387 nt
Filed under: uncultured eukaryote
Lineage: Eukaryota
Description: partial 18S ribosomal RNA
Rfam family: Eukaryotic small subunit ribosomal RNA
Source: RNAcentral
CAAUAGCGUAUAUUAAAGUUGUUGCAGUUAAAAAGCUCGUAGUUGGAUUUCUGAUCGAGACAUCAGGUCGGGUCCGAGAGGAUCAUGUACUUUGAUUUUGUUUUGAUCAUCCUUGGGGAGAGCAUUUCUGGCAUUCAGUUGUCGGGAUUGGGAUCCUCAUCGUUUACUGUGAAAAAUUAGAGUGUUCAAAGCAGGCCUCGGCCUCUGAAUACAUUAGCAUGGAAUAAUAAGAUAGGACUUUGGUGGUCUAUUUUGUUGGUUUGCACGCCAAAGUAAUGAUUAAUAGGGAUAGUUGGGGGUGUUCGUAUUCAAUUGUCAGAGGUGAAAUUCUUGGAUUUAUGGAAGACGAACUACUGCGAAAGCAUUUACCAAGGAUGUUUUCAUUAA